This 253-nucleotide ribosomal RNA is filed under the name uncultured bacterium. RNAcentral describes it as "partial 16S ribosomal RNA". It matches the Rfam family "Bacterial small subunit ribosomal RNA", at positions 524 to 776 of the family's 1533-position model. The record is from RNAcentral.
UACGUAGGGGGCAAGCGUUGUCCGGAUUUAUUGGGCGUAAAGAGCGUGUAGGCGGCCAUACAGGUCAGCUGUGAAAACUCGAGGCUCAACCUCGAGACGUCGGUUGAAACCGUAUGGCUAGAGUCCGGGAGAGGUGAGUGGAAUUCCUAGUGUAGAGGUGAAAUUCGUAGAUAUUAGGAAGAACACCAGUGGCGAAGGCGGCUCACUGGCCCGGUACUGACGCUGAGGCGCGAAAGCGUGGGGAGCAAACAGG